Molecule: long non-coding RNA, 1957 nt
Filed under: Salmo salar (Atlantic salmon)
Lineage: Eukaryota; Metazoa; Chordata; Actinopteri; Salmoniformes; Salmonidae
Description: lncRNA (ENSSSAG00000084017.1)
Source: RNAcentral
UAAUGUUUUAAGAGUGUAAUACUAGUACAUGACUUACUUGCACAUAUUCCUACUGUUUAUCCUUCACUCUUUGGGAAUUCGUUUCAUAUAUGACUGUGUAGAUUUGCUUCAUCCAGAGAUGGUGUUUCUGAAGGAUGGGGGCUAUGGUUGAUAAGCUCACUCUGAUGUUAUGGAAGAUGACCGGAUUACAGCCUCCUGUUUGUCUGUAAAUACACGUGUUCUACCACCAUGUACGUCGUGGUCAUCUUUCAGUUCUAUAACAACUAAAUAGCAUACAGUACAGUAAACACUACAGUAAUACAGUAUACAAGAUAAACAUGUUACAGAAUAGUAUAGCUCCCAGUUUCCUCCAUACAGUACAGUAAACACUACAGUAAUACAGUAUACAAGAUAAAACAUGUUACAGAGUAGUAUAGCUCCCAGUUUCCUCCAUACAGUACAGUAAACACUACAGUAAUACAGUAUACAAGAUAAACAUGUUACAGAGUAGUAUAGCUCCCAGUUUCCUCCAUACAGUACAGUAAACACUACAGUAAUACAGUAUACAAGAUAAACAUGUUACAGAGUAGUAUAGCUCCCAGUUUCCUCCAUACAGUACAGUAAACACUACAGUAAUACAGUAUACAAGAUAAACAUGUUACAGAGUAGUAUAGCUCCCAGUUUCCUCCAUACAGUACAGUAAACACUACAGUAAUACAGUAUACAAGAUAAACAUGUUACAGAGUAGUAUAGCUCCCAGUUUCCCCCAUACAGUACAGUAAACACUACAGUAAUACAGUAUACAAGAUAAACAUGUUACAGAGUAGUAUAGCUCCCAGUUUCCUCCAUACAGUACAGUAAACACUACAGUAAUACAGUAUACAAGAUAAACAUGUUACAAAGUAGUAUAGCUCCCAGUUUCCUCCAUAUAGUACAGUAAACACUACAGUAAUACAGUAUACAAGAUAAACAUGUUACAAAGUAGUAUAGCUCCCAGUUUCCUCCAUAUAGUACAGUAAACACUACAGUAAUACAGUAUACAAGAUAAACAUGUUACAGAGUUGUAUAGCUCCCAGUUUCCUCCAUACAGUAAUACAUGAAUCAUUUACGUUGUUUCCCCUUCCAGUAUGUAUUGGAAUCUACAGUUUUUACUGUGCUUUAUGUUGUACUACUGUCAAGUAGUAAAAGUACUAGAGAGGUCCAAUGUCUGCAGUACAAACCUCUUCUCAUUUUGGAACGUCCGGAUGAUGGAUGUUACGGUGAAGCGGCUCAGAUUGGGCUGCACUCUCUGCCCAGCCUCUCUCAAGGUCAAACCAUGGUUGACCACAUGGUCUGCCCAGCCUCUCUCAAGGUCAAACCAUGGUUGAUCACAUGGUCUGCCCAGCCUCUCUCAAGGUCAAACCAUGGUUGACCACAAGGUCCACCACAGUCACCGAGACUCCUCUCCUUGUUCUUGGUCUUCCUUAUUCUCCACCUCUAUCUCCACCUCUCCCUGCUAACUUUGCUUCCAUUGUUCUCCAAACACAGGAGUACUCACCUGUGGUCUUUUGAUUGCAAAGUUGAACAUUUAUGCAAUUAGUGUUUGAACAUGUGAAGAGUGAAAAUGAUCAAUUGGUAAUUGAUCUUAGCUUGUUGAACAGUGUUGCUUUUCAUUUGAACACAAGAGAUUUUAGUUGUGAAAGUUGUGCCAAAAUAUAGAGAAUUGUGUGUUGUGUUUUGCCAAAUGUUUGUUAUAGAAUUUUAAUCUGUGCCAGUAGUAUUGCAGAUUUGGUGUCUGGUUCUGUUAAAUGGGUUACAGAUUUGGGUCAUUGUGACUCAUGGGCCAGUUUUAGUGUGUUAACAAUUGGGAAAUACUGUAAGUAUUAUUUUGCAGACCCUGUGACAAUGUGAAAGAAAACUAUUCAAACUCAGGCUCAAUGGUUGUGAGUUGUUUCCCAUAGUGACAUUAAAGUAAAACUCCACACAAAAAACAUAUUUU